Molecule: ribosomal RNA, 253 nt
Filed under: uncultured bacterium
Lineage: Bacteria
Description: partial 16S ribosomal RNA
Rfam family: Bacterial small subunit ribosomal RNA
Source: RNAcentral
UACGUAGGGUGCAAGCGUUAAUCGGAAUUACUGGGCGUAAAGCGUGCGCAGGCGGCUAUGCAAGACAGAUGGGAAAUCCCCGGGCUCAACCUGGGAACUGCAUUUGUGACUGCAUGGCUAGAGUACGGCAGAGGGGGAUGGAAUUCCGCGUGUAGCAGUGAAAUGCGUAGAUAUGCGGAGGAACACCGAUGGCGAAGGCAAUCCCCUGGGCCUGUACUGACGCUCAUGCACGAAAGCGUGGGGAGCAAACAGG